GACGAACGCUGGCGGCGUGCUUAACACAUGCAAGUCGAACGGUAAGGCUCCCGCUUGCUGGGGUACACGAGUGGCGAACGGGUGAGUAACACGUGGGUGACCUGCCCUGCACUUCGGGAUAAGCCUGGGAAACUGGGUCUAAUACCGGAUAGGACCAUGGUGUGGAUACUGUGGUGGAAAGUUUUUUCGGUGUGGGAUGGGCCCGCGGCCUAUCAGCUUGUUGGUGGGGUAAUGGCCUACCAAGGCGGCGACGGGUAGCCGGCCUGAGAGGGUGGACGGCCACAUUGGGACUGAGACACGGCCCAGACUCCUACGGGAGGCAGCAGUGGGGAAUAUUGCACAAUGGGCGGAAGCCUGAUGCAGCGACGCCGCGUGGGGGAUGACGGCCUUCGGGUUGUAAACUCCUUUCACCAUCGACGAAGGGUUUCUGACGGUAGAUGGAGAAGAAGCACCGGCUAACUACGUG
This 466-nucleotide ribosomal RNA is filed under the name uncultured bacterium. RNAcentral describes it as "partial 16S ribosomal RNA". It matches the Rfam family "Bacterial small subunit ribosomal RNA", at positions 28 to 507 of the family's 1533-position model. The record is from RNAcentral.